GGUGGCUGCAGGUGGAGAGCGGAGGCUGGUGUUUAGUAAGCCGAUGGUGGUGGCUGCAGGUGGAGAGCGGAGGCUUGUGUUUAGCAAGCCGUUGGUGGUGGCUGCAAGUGGAGAGCGGAGGCUGGUGUUUACCAAGCCGAUGGUGGUGGCUGUGGGUGGAAACAGGAGGGUGGUGCUUUGCAAGCCGAUGGUGGUGGCUGCAGGUGGAGGUGGCAGGUGGAUGUUCUGCAGGUAGAUGGUGCACACUGCAGAGGGACAGUUUAUACAGAAAAGAAAAACUAUUUUGAAAUUUUAAAUUAAAUUUUGAAUGAACUAUUUACAUGUAAAAUGAAAAAACAAAACAUGAAAGAACAAAAGUGAACUAUAUACAAAAGUUAAACAUUUCAUUGAAAUGUAAAACUUAGUGAAGUGGUGAUCUCAGGCGGGGUCCCAGAACUUCUGGUCAACCCUCUGGAAACACACUUCAAGACGGCCACUUAGACACCUACAAGAGACAGAAGACACAUGAAUGACAUCAUGAUAAUAAAUAAAUUACUCAGAAGCUUUUUUUAAAUUAGGUCAACUUUUAGUUUUCUAUUAAAAGCAGAAAGUGUGUCAGCCUUAAACUAAAAGUCCUGCCACCCCUUCUAGUUUCAGAAAUUCUCGGUACCACAAGUUUCCCUAUGUUUUGGGAAUGAUGGGAAAUAAGAAACAAUCACAUAUUUGAGACAAAUUUUACAGAGAGCCAGUGUAGAGAGGCUAACUCAGGAGAAAUGGGCUCUUUCUUGUCAGUAAUCUGGCAGCAACAUUUUGGAUCAGCUGAAGAAUUUUAAGGGCGUAGUUUGGGGAUCCACUUAAGACGGUGUUACAGUAGUCCAACACAGAUGGGAUAAAAUGUGUGGAGCAGAUGUUCAGCAUCACUUCAGGACAGGAUGCUCCUUAUGUUGGUGAUAUGAUGGAAAUGAAGCUACUCUAGAGACGUGUUUGAUGUGAGCACUGAAAGACAAAUCCUGGUCAAGAAUGACUCCAAGCUUCCUGCCAUUAACAGGAACUAACUAAACAACCAUAUAUAAGGAUUUUAGGGCCAAAAAAGUUCCCUAAAAUUCUGAAUAGGUGGAGUCUGUCUGGGCUAAAGGUGGUGCACAAGUCGAGGACCCAACAGGAUCCACCAGGGUGUGGGGCUUACGUCAUUAGCUUCAGGCGUUGCGUGGCUUUUUGACACAUGCCAGCCCGUUGCAGUCAUCACGCUUCCUCUUCCUGCAGCCACAAAACAGAACAAAAUCAAUCAGAGCAGAGCUGACCUGUUUCCAUGGCAACUCACAAAAAGGCAUAAACUUAAUUCAAUGACACAGAUCAGGAGUGAGGAGAAGAUCUGGAGUGAAAGCAUCCAGAGAAAACUUACUGUGAGGGGUUCAGGGUGGCUGCAGCAGGACGGGCUGGCAUCCUGCAGGAACACACACACACAUUUUACAGCAGGAAGACAGUGUGGACAUACAAACAGAAGCUCAGCUGCUGAUGCUAAACAUUGAUCAGGAUUUGUCUUUUACUUACUGGGAUCCAAAAGGGACCAAGAACUGGCCAUUAAGGAGCCGAAAACACGGCAGCUUCACUGAAUAAAAAUGGAACAUUUCAAAUUUUGAAGCUCAUGAGGUUGUGCUGCUUCUAGAAAAUAAUCCUCCUCUGGAUUUACAUUUAAUCUUGAGACAGAGGAGGUCUCAGUAUGUUCUGAUGUGGAGGGAGAUGAUGAGGCUCAUGGAGGGUGUGUUGUCUGUUGGGCUGGAGGCAGGUGGUGGACUGAAUGAAGAACAUGUUCAGCUCAUCAGCUCUGUCCAGACUUCCAUCAGUCUGAUCCUCUUUUAACGUGAAGCCAGUGAUCUUUUUUAUUCCUGACCAUGCAUCCCUCCUGUUGUUCUGCUGGAGGUGGUAUCUACAUUUUUACUGUAGUCCUCUUUGCACUUCUUAACCUUUAAGUUGUUUUUGUGUUUGUGACCUAGAUAACUUCAACUUUGGGUUGUAAUUACAGAACAUCUGUUUAAGUGUUGACAUACCUGAAAGGAUCGCUAAAAAUCACUGCAUUUCACUUUAAGUUGUAAACUUCUCCUUCCUGGUUACUUAUUCUUGGAGUAAUCUAUAAAUUCCUUAGGCCCCUGUUGGUUUAAAUUUAAAUUUUGUUUGAUAAUUACGGAUACAUUUUCUGAAUGGGUUGAACUAUUUCCAUGUGCACACCCAGAUGCUAGAAAUAGUAGCUAAAGCACUAGUAAGAGAAAUAAUUCCAAGAUUUGGAGAAACCACAAAGAAUUUACAGUGAUAAUGGAACACAUUUUGUAAAUCAGGUUAUUCUAUAUAUAGGACAAGCAUUAGACAUUCAAUGUAAGAUGGACAUUACUUCAUGACUUCUGUCCACAGCGACCAUUUAUCUCCUGACUGAUGGAAAACUACCACUGAACCUGAAUUAAAUCCACACAAGUGUGUUAAUAUAUCAUUUUUAUUGGGAAUUUGAUAGAAAAUCAACAUCUUACCUAGAAUUGAAAUCCCUUCUGGGAAUCUCAUGCAUUCAAAAAUCCUAGACAGAGCAAAAUAAUUCCAAUGAAACCAUGUUCCUAAACUUCUUUUAAACUCUAAGAAAGAAGAUUUAAACAUUUUUUGUAUAAACAAAACUUUUCAUGAAGCUGUGCUGCAAACAUGUUCAUGUCUACAACCCAUUUACAUCCAUUUCAUAAAGUAUGGUUUUGUGAACGGAGGUAACAAGGCAGAGCUGAGAGGUGUGUGUGGUGUGUUAGCUAAUGCUUUGCAUUCCUGAAGCCUUCAACACUAAAGCUGCAUCUAGCAAAGAAACAUCCAACACUAACAAACAACAAAGAAAUAAAGAAAAUUGGCUACAGAUGCUGAAAACAUCUGUCAAGUUUGGCAAUUCUGAAAAAAAGUUUAUUAAAUUAAUUGUUUAAUUAAAUGUUUUCUCUUUAAAUAUAAACAAAAACCAGACAUUUAUCUACAGUUUAUUUCAUUUGAAUGAUCCUGAAAGGUGUAACUUGCUUACUGAAGAGAGCCUAUGACAGCCUCUCAAGGACUUUCAUGGUAUGAGAUGUUAGAGCAGCUGGUCUGUAGUCUGUUGAUUCAGAUGGUUGGGAUUUUCUAAGUACUGGAACAAGGCGGUAUGUUUUCCACAGCACAGGAACUCUUUUUUUGACUCAGGCUGGUGUUGAAAAACUGCUGAAGAACCCAACAUGUUCUGUCAUAAUAUAACAAUGUGUGAGUAUAAAUGUGCAGGAUGGUACUGCAGGAAUGCAGGUUGUGGUGUUGAUAGUCAUCUUUAAAACUUUAUGGAUGCUUAAAGAACACAAACUAAUAAUGAAUAUUUUAUUAAUCCCAAUUUAGAAGUUUUGUCUUUGCAUUUAUCCCAAAUUAAUAGCAGCCACAUCCCUUUGUUGCCAGCCAGGUGACUUGACACCAGUGUUGUGCGUGAACAAGUUAAAAUGACCACAUUCAUUGAAAACAUUCAUUUUUAUGUGAAUUAUGAACUGAACACAACACAUUUGUAAAUAAAGACCUUGAACGUGAACUUGUUCAGGUUCAGUGAAGUCCUGUAACAGUCACUGUGUCCAUUUGCACCUGAGCUAUACCCACUUCACACUAAGUUACCCACCAUGCAUUGCACACUUUAGCACAACUAACCAGCAAUGCUCCUCAGCAACUCCUCAGUCACAUGCCUUGUGUGCUUAUGAUUACUUACGGGACUAUUACGUACUGUCUGCAGAGGAUUCCAGCAGUUAAAAUCUAACAUUUCUAUGCAAGUUAUGUCUGCCUGCACUUAAAAAGCAGGCAGACAAAAGUUAGAACGUCAGCCUCAUCGGCUUCUAAUUUGAGGAGACAUGUAGAGUUGAAGCAUCUAUCCAGUUUGAGAGGAUAUCUGCAAGUCCUCGUCAUAAAAAAAAAGCCAUUAGGGAAGGGCAAGACCCCCUGCCAACAGCCCCAAACAACCCAUCACACUGGUGCAGGGGUGUAGCACAAAAAUCUGGGCCCUUUGUACAAACAUUUCUGUGGGCCCCCAGGUGGACUUGAUCAAUAGUUCUCAUGCACACUUUUCCUGUGGUAUAAGACUAAUGUCAUAGUUUAACCUCUAAAUGGUAAAUGGCUUCUCUAUCCAUUUCCUGGUUCAUCUGGCAGACACUCUUCUGCAUUGCUCAACCUUUCACUGUCUUCCUGUUCCUCCUCUUUCCUCUCCUCACCCUCCUCACUACCUUCAGUGCAGAUAGAUACAAGAUUAUCUUAACAUGCUUACAGCAUAAAAUACAAUAGAAUAAAACUUAAUGUGUUCCUGAGAUUAUUUUGUUUGAACAAGCUACAGAUGAUUGAUUAUAAACUGACUAACAUAACUGCCUCCAUGAGCUCAGUGAUCAUCUGGACAUGAUGAUGGACCUGCUGCUGUGUCUGAGAAUGAGGACCAUGUGGUUCAUGAUGUUAAUCUUUGCUCAUACUGAUAAUUGCAAUGUUACAGUGGUACUGAUAGGUUCAAUAUAUGUGAUUGUUAAGCAUUAAACCUUUUGUUAGGCUACACCAACAAACACACGAGUCAUGUUUUGUAUUGUUCCUCCUGUCUGACUAUGAACUUCUACUUUGUACCCUAAAACAUGCAGGCUGGGCAGAUUUCUGAUUCAUGUCACUCCGUUACUGAAUAAAGUAAUUCAGUAAUAAUUACAAGACAGCCCUUUUUCCAGGUUAGAUAUUUUUAUAAGGAAUUGACUCAAAAGCACCAACAGCAGGAGUUUUAAUAAUAAUCAGACUCUGACUUAUUCAUCAGUCAUUGUUUCAUUUUAUUAAUUUAUGGUAGAUCAUUUGUUAUCAACAUUACAGACUUCAGGGUCUGGUGCAUUCACUUCUUCAGAUAACACAAUGUCAAUAGCAUCCUCACAAAUGACAAAUAAUCCAUUGAUAUCAAAUAUGUAAUGACUGGUCACUGGGAAAGGACUAAAUAUGGACAGUAAGUGGAUAUGUUUUUAUCACAAGGUCUGUAACAUCAAACUAUUUAAUAACUUUGAUGAAUUUCUGAUAGUAAUACAUGUGUGUUGUCCCCAAAUGAAUCCUAACAUGUUCCCAAAGACACCUGCUGCUGAUAUCAGCUCAGACUGUUAGUUCAGGUGCUGCUCACCUCUUCUCUAACUAAUGAAUAAGAAGCAGCUGCCCCUCACUUCAUUUUCUUACCCUGUGUUUUUUUCUCUCCCUUUUAUGAUUUCCAGACUUUACUUUCUUUGGCUGUCUGGCUGCUCGCUGUCGGCUAGUUCGGUCACGUGUCUGACAAAGCCAGAUCAAACACUGCUUGUCUGGCUAUACAAUGUGCUUGAAUACAGGUGAAAGUGAAGGGACAUCCUGGGAAGCAUCAGGCAUUCACGGCACCAGUGUAACGCAGAUGACAGAGUCCAGGGGCACGCAGCCUGAAGCAAGUGAUGUGGCCACAUCUAGCAUUCCAGGCACCAGUGAAACACAGAGCACUGAGACCACGGAAGCUCAGCCUGAAACAACUAAGCUCCUUGAAUACUAUCUAUUAAAGCACAAUUAAAAAGCUCAGUGACUUGUUUUCUCAUCAAGCCAAGUUGACACUCUUCAUUAAUUGUUCUCAAACACUGCUGGUCUAUUAUGCUCUAUCGGCUGGUCUCUAUUAGAUGCAGUAUAGUAAUGUUUAGUGUAAGCAGUCUACAAUAGCUUAAUCACACUGAAGUUAUAAUGUCCAUUUUUGGGCCAUGGGAACAUGAUAGACGUUUGUGUUUUAUAUGUGAAAAAUGUAUCUAAAAUUUAAGCACUACUUGAGAAAACUAACUGCAAUUCCAGCAGAACUAUCAAUGUCACGAAAUAGAAUGAAAUAAGAUUUCUUUUCCUCCCUUAAACACUUAAUUGUGUUUUUAUGUCCAUAUUAUUGCUAAAGAUUCAGAGGAUUUGUGAGCCACAAUCAUUAUGGCAAAUACUGAAGAACAGAGGGAGGCCCAGCCCAGAGUGUGUCUCCCUCUAGAGAAGUGUGAGGCAGGCAGGGAACAGCCCUCUACCAGCCAGAAUGAGGAAGAUGAGCAACUAAUUUACCCGGACCUGGCACCAGUGGCUUUCAACUGUUUACAUCAGACCUGAAAAUUCUGUAGCUCAGUUUCUAUGCGGCUCUCUGGAACUUUGACUUUUGGAUUGUUUUAAAUUGUUGUUUUGUUUAAACACUUAAAAGUUCUUCAGAUCAAGGCAGACCCUUUUAUGAUACUACAGUAAAGAAAAGCCAAGUUCUUUCGCCAAACCUAACCAUGGCGAAUGGCAUCGAACGCCAUGAAACAGGAAGUACUUGUAACUGACCCAAUGUACUUCUGAUCUCCACCAAACUCAGCAGAGAGGACAGUGGUCAGGCCUGGAACUGAUUCAAAUUGAUGUAUGCUGGAAAUAUGUCUCUGAAUAAAUAUUUAAUCUAUCAGCCCCAACUACUGCUUUGACUAACAUUAAUGACAUUUGGCAUAUUUAUAUAACAUGCGAGGACAUACACAAAAGCCUCUUCAUGUCCAGAUGUGGUCAACGCCAUGGCCCCGCCCCGGCCAGAUUAGCAUCACAGGCAUUUCUGAAAAAAGUGAACGGAAUAACUGAUCAAACUAAGUUCUUGCAGGUGUUUGCAGUAUCAUUUUGUGUUACAAUUUCUAUAUUUUAUCAUGAUCAUUGAAAGGAGCCACUAACCUUGUUAAGAUGGGGGAGAAGUGGUCCAACAGGAAGUUCAGCUCCUCUGUAUCAUAGUCCAUCAGAAGAUCUCGUUGCUCUGGCCAAGAAUCAUGAUCAAAUAUCCUGAAUGACCUUACUGCCUUUGCAGUUGCUGAUGAGGAGGACCCUUAAUCUAUCAAGGGGUAGGAGAGAAUGAUUUAAGGAGGAGAAAGAUGAAGUGUCCUAAAGAUAUAUACAUAUGUAUAUAUAUAUAUAUAUAUAUAUAUAUAUAUAUAUAUAGUUAUGUCUUUUCACUUGCCGAGUAGACUACCGAACCUCUGCUUCAAGUGCAGCACAGCGCAGUCAACAGUUGCUUUUACUGCUUGUUGCAAACGUGGCGUUCCUGCCAUUGAGUGUCCAUCUGUUCCUAGUCCAACAGCUUCUCAGCUUCCAACUUUAAGACAAAUGCUUAUUUAAAAAAACAUAAAAAAUAAAAAAAAAUAAAAAAAAUUCUCACCUGAUAUUUGAACAAAAGGUGAGCCUCACCAUCACUCUCUUGUUGUCUUCUCU
Long non-coding RNA from Melanotaenia boesemani (Boeseman's rainbowfish), 7203 nucleotides. RefSeq lists it as uncharacterized. Lineage: Eukaryota; Metazoa; Chordata; Actinopteri; Atheriniformes; Melanotaeniidae. The record is from RefSeq and is a predicted model, not a curated record. The transcript is spliced from 2 exons.